Molecule: long non-coding RNA, 388 nt
Organism: Hyla sarda
Lineage: Eukaryota; Metazoa; Chordata; Amphibia; Anura; Hylidae
Exons: 3
Source: RefSeq, a predicted model, not a curated record
CAUGUAUCAAGAAAUACAGUUCUGUGCAAAAGGCUUAGAAAAUGUAAAGAAAAAUGCCACAAAGGAGUAUUCCUUGUCAGGAGCUAAAGAUGGAGAAGAUGGGCAUUUGUUUACGUCUUCGGUGCAACAAUUAACAGGGUGAAUUUGUCCAGUUGAGAAUAAGAAUGGGCUAAUACGCUAACAGACGAAAAAGAAUGGCGAUGAGAAAGGAGAUGAGAAAAAAGAAGGCAAACAGAGUAUAGCGGCACAUUGCCAAUGACUUUCCCAUGGAGAAAAUUCCACUGGCCAGAAAGUGACUGGAAUCUGGAUUGAAGACGACUCUCUCUGCUUGACCUUAUGGCUCAUCAAAUCAAACAGAACCCGAGGGAGACGCCUGUAACAAGGCCUU